UACGUAGGGUGCGAGCGUUGUUCGGAAUUACUGGGCGUAAAGUGUGCGCAGGCGGUCGAGCAUGUCGAGUGUGAAAGCCCCGGGCUUAACCUGGGAACUGCGCUCGAAACUACUUGGCUGGAGUGUGGCAGAGGAAGGUGGAAUUCCACGUGUAGCGGUGAAAUGCGUAGAGAUGUGGAGGAACACCGAUGGCGAAGGCAGCCUUCUGGGCCAACACUGACGCUGAGGCACGAAAGCGUGGGGAGCAAACAGG
Molecule: ribosomal RNA, 253 nt
Filed under: uncultured bacterium
Lineage: Bacteria
Description: partial 16S ribosomal RNA
Rfam family: Bacterial small subunit ribosomal RNA
Source: RNAcentral